CUCUCUGUGACUCCUACGGGAGGCAGCAGUGGGGAAUAUUGCACAAUGGGCGCAAGCCUGAUGCAGCCAUGCCGCGUGUAUGAAGAAGGCCUUCGGGUUGUAAAGUACUUUCAGCAGUGAGGAAGGCAGGUACGUUAAUAGCGUGCUUGUUUGACGUUAGCUGCAGAAGAAGCACCGGCUAACUCCGUGCCAGCAGCCGCGGUAAUACGGAGGGUGCGAGCGUUUAAUCGGAAUUUACUGGGCGUAAAGCGCAUGCAGGUGGUUUGUUAAGUCAGAUGUGAAAGCCCGGGGCUCAACCUCGGAAUUGCAUUUGAAACUGGCAGACUAGAGUACUGUAGAGGGGGUAGAAUUUCAGGUGUAGCGGUGAAAUGCGUAGAGAUCUGAAGGAAUACCGGUGGCGAAGGCGGCCCCCUGGACAGAUACUGACACUCAGAUGCGAAAGCGUGGGGAGCAAACAGGAUUAGAUACCCUGGUAG
This 476-nucleotide ribosomal RNA is filed under the name uncultured bacterium. Its description in RNAcentral is "bacterial SSU rRNA". It matches the Rfam family "Bacterial small subunit ribosomal RNA", at positions 326 to 793 of the family's 1533-position model. The record is from RNAcentral.